GCCCGGCGCCGCGCACUGCCGAUACAGCGCCGGCGCUGUCGCGGUGAUGUGACGGCAUCGCUCGUCGCCGCGGCCGCUCCCCUUCCAGCGUUACCCGGCCGGUGCCCGGUGCCCCUGAGGUCCCGUCCCGUCCGGUGCGGCGGGCAGGAUGCACCAGAAGCUGCUGCGGAGCGCGCACUACAUCGAGCUGGGGAGCUACCAGUAUUGGCCGGUACUGGUGCCCCGUGGCAUACGUCUCUACACCUACGAGCAGAUCCCCGUUUUCCUGAAGGACAACCCCUACAUCACCGACGGCUACCGGGCCUACCUACCCUCCCGCCUCUGCCUCAAGAGUCUCUUCAUCCUCUCCAACGAGACCGUCAACAUCUGGAGCCACCUGCUCGGCUUUGCCCUUUUCUUCACGCUGGGAAUAUACGACCUGACGGCUGUGCUGCCGGCCGCCGGAGCCUCCCGGGAGGACUUCGUCAUCUGCUCCAUCUGCCUCUUCUGCUUCCAGGUGUGCAUGCUCUGCUCAGUAGGAUAUCAUCUUUUCUGUUGUCACCGCUCAGAGAAGACCAGCCGGCGAUGGAUGGCAUUAGAUUAUGCAGGAAUUUCCAUCGGGAUCCUGGGCUGCUAUGUAUCAGGCGUCUUUUAUGCAUUUUAUUGUAAUAAUUACUGGCGUCAGGUAUAUUUAAUCACUGUGCUGGCAAUGGUCUUGGCAGUGUUUUUUGCUCAGAUUCAUCCCAGUUACCUCACACAACAGUGGCACAGACUUCGCUCCAUCAUCUUCUGCUCCGUGUCUGGAUACGGAAUCGUUCCCACCAUCCACUGGGUUUGGCUCAACGGCGGCAUUGGUGCAUCUAUUGUACAGGAGUUUGCUCCGCGUGUAGUUGUCAUGUACUUCAUCGCUGCUGUAGCUUUUCUCUUCUAUAUUUCCAAAGUUCCAGAAAGAUACUUCCCAGAUGAAAUUUCUGACGUUGAGGUCUGCACCUUACCUGCUGAGCUGAGUUAUGAGGUGAAGCACCGAGGCAGUUCCUUUUCUGACUUCUGGACUGUUACCUGGUUGCUGUUGGGUUAUGGUGACACUUGAAAAAAUGAACAGCGUGGCCUGGGAUCUGAGAUGCAUUUUCUUCCUGUUCUGCAUUCCAGUAUAAAAAGGUCUUCCUGGAGUGUGACAAUGGAAAGAUGGGCUGUAAGACUCAGCGUUUGUUCUGCUUGGGAGACAAAACAACAGAACUGAGUGAAACCUGCUGAGCUCCCCAGCCCACAUACCCGGUAUCGAGCCAAGCCAGUUCUAAGUGCACUGAUUACUACUGCUGAAGCCUGAGGAGGAACCAGCAAGUAGAAAAGCCCAUUUCCAAUGUUAUGUGAAAAAAAAAAAAAAAAAAACAUUUGAAGAACAUGUGUUUGUGUAUUGAGAGCAUACUGACUUGAUAAUUCUCUAAGGUAUUUUUAUGUCAGCUCUCACCUACUGUAGCAGUUUUCACUGGAUCAGGAAACUGACUGCCAAGAUGUACAUUUUUAUUACCCUGAACUUUAUCAAGCUGCAUGAUGGUCUUCUAUGUAUGUACUGAACCUGUAAAUAAAUUCCACUUCAUUGGCCA
This is an RNA transcript of Neopsephotus bourkii (Bourke's parrot), 1583 nucleotides long. It is a transcript of the gene named progestin and adipoQ receptor family member 3, with no coding region annotated. NCBI's taxonomy places the organism in Eukaryota, Metazoa, Chordata, Aves, Psittaciformes, Psittacidae. The record is from RefSeq and is a predicted model, not a curated record. The transcript is spliced from 8 exons.